CCUUUAGCUCAGUUGGUUAGAGCGCUCGACUCAUAAUCGAUCGGUCGCAGGUUCAAGUCCUGCAAGGCC
This 69-nucleotide transfer RNA is filed under the name Spongiibacter tropicus. It matches the Rfam family "tRNA". From Rfam's summary of the family: Transfer RNA (tRNA) molecules are approximately 80 nucleotides in length. Their secondary structure includes four short double-helical elements and three loops (D, anti-codon, and T loops). The record is from RNAcentral. Lineage: Bacteria; Pseudomonadati; Pseudomonadota; Gammaproteobacteria; Cellvibrionales; Spongiibacteraceae.